Molecule: ribosomal RNA, 566 nt
Filed under: uncultured bacterium
Lineage: Bacteria
Description: bacterial SSU rRNA
Rfam family: Bacterial small subunit ribosomal RNA
Source: RNAcentral
CCUACGGGAGGCAGCAGUGGGGAAUUUUCCGCAAUGGGCGAAAGCCUGACGGAGCAACGCCGCGUGGGUGAUGAAGUCUUUCGGGACGUAAAACCCUUUCAGCAGGGACGAACAAAAUGACGGUACCUGCAGAAGAAGCAUCGGCUAACUACGUGCCAGCAGCCGCGGUAAUACGUAGGAUGCGAGCGUUGUCCGGAUUUAUUGGGCGUAAAGCGAACGUAGGCGGUUUCUUAAGUUUGGUCUUAAAGACCGGGGCUCAACCCCGGGAGUGGACUGAAUACUGGGAGACUAGAGGAUGUUAGAGGAAAGUGGAAUUCCAAGUGUAGCGGUGAAAUGCGUAGAUAUUUGGAGGAACACCAGUGGCGAAAGCGGCUUUCUGGGACAUUUCUGACGCUGAGGUUCGAAAGCUCGGGGAGCAAACAGGAUUAGAUACCCUGGUAGUCCGAGCCGUAAACGAUGGACACUAGGUGUCGGGGGUAUCGACCCCCCCGGUGCCGUAGCUAACGCGUUAAGUGUCCCGCCUGGGGAGUACGGGUCGCAAGACUGAAACUCAAAGGAAUUGACGG